AUGGAGACUCAUGUCCUUCCUCUGCAAGAAUCCCAGUACAAGGAUUUCAAAGGUAUAUCUACUCUGGAUGAUAGGAACAAAAGCGCCCAGCUCAGGAUAAUCAAGAGACUCCCAGUUUCAUCAAAAGGCAGCUUUCUUGAGCCAGGGGAUAAGAGAGGCUGGGGGGACCUGUUCAGCCUGGGACACAGGAAGCAGAAACAGGUGAACAUCCCUCUCCUCCUUGGCCUCCUGGCUCACUACACAGGCACCGUGGCCUUCUAUGUAGUAACUCAGCCAUCUUCAGUAUCAGUGGCCUUGCGACAGAUGGCCAGGAUCACCUGCUCUAGAGAUAAAUUGGGAAAUAAAUAUGCCUACUGGUACCAGCAGAGACCAGGUCAGGCCCCUGUGCUGGUCAUCUACAGUGAUAGAGACCGGCCCUCAGGGAUCCCUGAGAGAUUCUCUGGCUCCAACUCGGGAAAUACGGCUACCCUGACUAUCAGUAGAGCCCAAGCCAGGGAUGAGGCUGACAAUUACUGUGCCACCUCUGAUGGUAGUGAAACCAACUUUCAUUAA
This is a non-coding RNA of Carlito syrichta (Philippine tarsier), 552 nucleotides long. The record is from the annotation of a RefSeq genome assembly. Lineage: Eukaryota; Metazoa; Chordata; Mammalia; Primates; Tarsiidae.